Molecule: ribosomal RNA, 750 nt
Filed under: Escherichia coli
Lineage: Bacteria; Pseudomonadati; Pseudomonadota; Gammaproteobacteria; Enterobacterales; Enterobacteriaceae
Description: partial 23S ribosomal RNA
Rfam family: Bacterial large subunit ribosomal RNA
Source: RNAcentral
CAUAGGUUAAUGAGGCGAACCGGGGGAACUGAAACAUCUAAGUACCCCGAGGAAAAGAAAUCAACCGAGAUUCCCCCAGUAGCGGCGAGCGAACGGGGAGGAGCCCAGAGCCUGAAUCAGUGUGUGUGUUAGUGGAAGCGUCUGGAAAGGCGCGCGAUACAGGGUGACAGCCCCGUACACAAAAAUGCACAUACUGUGAGCUCGAUGAGUAGGGCGGGACACGUGGUAUCCUGUCUGAAUAUGGGGGGACCAUCCUCCAAGGCUAAAUACUCCUGACUGACCGAUAGUGAACCAGUACCGUGAGGGAAAGGCGAAAAGAACCCCGGCGAGGGGAGUGAAAAAGAACCUGAAACCGUGUACGUACAAGCAGUGGGAGCACGCUUCGGCGUGUGACUGCGUACCUUUUGUAUAAUGGGUCAGCGACUUAUAUUCUGUAGCAAGGUUAACCGAAUAGGGGAGCCGAAGGGAAACCGAGUCUUAACUGGGCGUUAAGUUGCAGGGUAUAGACCCGAAACCCGGUGAUCUAGCCAUGGGCAGGUUGAAGGUUGGGUAACACUAACUGGAGGACCGAACCGACUAAUGUUGAAAAAUUAGCGGAUGACUUGUGGCUGGGGGUGAAAGGCCAAUCAAACCGGGAGAUAGCUGGUUCUCCCCGAAAGCUAUUUAGGUAGCGCCUCGUGAAUUCAUCUCCGGGGGUAGAGCACUGUUUCGGCAAGGGGGUCAUCCCGACUUACCAACCCGAUGCAAACU